This 877-nucleotide ribosomal RNA is filed under the name uncultured bacterium. RNAcentral's name for it is "bacterial SSU rRNA". It matches the Rfam family "Bacterial small subunit ribosomal RNA", at positions 12 to 870 of the family's 1533-position model. The record is from RNAcentral.
UUUGAUCCUGGCUCAGAUUGAACGCUGGCGGCAUGCCUUACACAUGCAAGUCGAACGGCAGCACGGGGGCAACCCUGGUGGCGAGUGGCGAACGGGUGAGUAAUGCAUCGGAACGUGCCCAGUGGUGGGGGAUAACCCGGCGAAAGCCGGGCUAAUACCGCAUACGACCUAAGGGUGAAAGCGGGGGACCGUAAGGCCUCGCGCUAUUGGAGCGGCCGAUGUCUGAUUAGCUAGUUGGCGGGGUAAAAGCCCACCAAGGCGACGAUCAGUAGCUGGUCUGAGAGGACGACCAGCCACACUGGGACUGAGACACGGCCCAGACUCCUACGGGAGGCAGCAGUGGGGAAUUUUGGACAAUGGGCGCAAGCCUGAUCCAGCCAUGCCGCGUGCGGGAAGAAGGCCUUCGGGUUGUAAACCGCUUUUGGCAGGAACGAAACGGCGCGAGCCAAUACCUCGCGCUAAUGACGGUACCUGCAGAAUAAGCACCGGCUAACUACGUGCCAGCAGCCGCGGUAAUACGUAGGGUGCAAGCGUUAAUCGAAAUUACUGGGCGUAAAGCGUACGCAGGCGGCUUUGCAAGACAGGUGUGAAAUCCCCGGGCCUAACCUGGGAACUGCAUUUGUGACUGCAUGGCUAGAGUCUGUCAGAAGGGGGGUGGAUUCCACCGUGUAGCAGUGAAACUGCGUAGAGAUGUGGAAGAACACCGAUGGCGAGAGGCAGCCCCCUGGGAUGAGACUGACGCUCAUGUACGAAAGCGUGGGGAGCAAACAGGACUUAGAUACCCUGGUAGUCCACGCCCUGAAACGACUGUGCUACUAAGUUGUCCGGGGGGUAACCUCCUUCGGUAACCGCAAGCUAACCGCGUGAACGUAGAGCC